This 680-nucleotide ribosomal RNA is filed under the name uncultured bacterium. Its description in RNAcentral is "bacterial SSU rRNA". It matches the Rfam family "Bacterial small subunit ribosomal RNA", at positions 93 to 772 of the family's 1533-position model. The record is from RNAcentral.
UAGUGGCGCACGGGUGCGUAACACGUAUGCAACCUACCUUACAUUGGGGGAUAGCCUUUCGAAAGGGAGAUUAAUACCGCAUAAGACAGUAACUGGGCAUCCAGUAGCUGUUAAAGAUUUAUCGAUGUAAGAUGGGCAUGCGACCAAUUAGUUAGUUGGCGAGGUAAUGGCUCACCAAGACUAUGAUUGGUAGGGGAACUGAGAGGUCAAUCCCCCACACUGGCACUGAGAUACGGGCCAGACUCCUACGGGAGGCAGCAGUAGGGAAUAUUGGGCAAUGGACGCAAGUCUGACCCAGCCAUGCCGCGUGCAGGAUGAAGGCGUUAUGCGUCGUAAACUGCUUUUAUACAGGAAGAAACGACUCUUGCGAGAGGCAUUGACGGUACUGUAUGAAUAGGCACCGGCUAACUCCGUGCCAGCAGCCGCGGUAAUACGGAGGGUGCAAGCGUUGUCCGGAUUUAUUGGGUUUAAAGGGUGCGCAGGUGGUUUAUUAAGUCAGUGGUGAAAGACGGUCGCUCAACGAUUGCAGUGCCCUUGAAACUAGUAGACUUGAGUAAAGUAGAGGUGGGCGGAAUUGAUAGUGUAGCGGUGAAAAGCAUAGAUAUUAUCAAGAACUCCAAUUGCGUAGGCAGCUCAUUUGGCUUUUACUGACACUCAUGCACGAAAGUGUGGGUAUCAAA